Molecule: ribosomal RNA, 253 nt
Filed under: uncultured bacterium
Lineage: Bacteria
Description: partial 16S ribosomal RNA
Rfam family: Bacterial small subunit ribosomal RNA
Source: RNAcentral
UACGGAGGGAGCAAGCGUUACUCGGAAUUAUUGGGCGUAAAGGGCGCGUAGGCGAUCUGACAAGUCUGGUGUGAAAGCCCACAUGUUAACUGUGGAAGUGCAUUGGAAACUGUUGGAUUUGAGUUCAGGAGAGGAAGGCAGAAUUCCCGGUGUAGCGGUGAAAUGCGUAGAGAUCGGCAGGAACACCCAGGGGGAAACCAGUCGACUGGGCAUCUACUGACGCUGAGGUGCGAGAGCGUGGGGAGCGAACCGG